GAUGAACGCUGGCGGCGUGCCUAAUACAUGCAAGUCGAGCGAACGGACGAGAAGCUUGCUUCUCUGAUGUUAGCGGCGGACGGGUGAGUAACACGUGGAUAACCUACCUAUAAGACUGGGAUAACUUCGGGAAACCGGAGCUAAUACCGGAUAAUAUUUUGAACCGCAUGGUUCAAAAGUGAAAGACGUUCUUGCUGUCCCUUAUAGAUGGAUCCGCGCUGCAUUAGCUAGUUGGUAAGGUAACGGCUUACCAAGGCAACGAUGCAUAGCCGACCUGAGAGGGUGAUCGGGAACACGGGAACUGAGACACGGUCCAGACUCCUACGGGAGGCAGCAGUAGGGAAUCUUCCGCAAUGGGCGAAAGCCUGACGGAGCAACGCCGCGUGAGUGAUGAAGGUCGUCGGAUCGUAAAACGCUGUUAGUAGGGAAGAACAGAUGUGUAAGUAACUGUGCACAUCGUGACGGUACCUAAUGAGAAAGCCACGGCUAACUACGUG
RNAcentral lists this ribosomal RNA (497 nucleotides) under uncultured bacterium. Its description in RNAcentral is "partial 16S ribosomal RNA". It matches the Rfam family "Bacterial small subunit ribosomal RNA", at positions 28 to 507 of the family's 1533-position model. The record is from RNAcentral.